Molecule: ribosomal RNA, 301 nt
Filed under: uncultured bacterium
Lineage: Bacteria
Description: partial 16S ribosomal RNA
Rfam family: Bacterial small subunit ribosomal RNA
Source: RNAcentral
CAGUAGCCGCGGUAAUACGUAGGGUGCAAGCGUUAAUCGGAAUUACUGGGCGUAAAGCGCACGCAGGCGGUUUGUUAAGUCAGAUGUGAAAUCCCCGAGCUUAACUUGGGAACUGCAUUUGAAACUGGCAAGCUAGAGUCUUGUAGAGGGGGGUAGAAUUCCAGGUGUAGCGGUGAAAUGCGUAGAGAUCUGGAGGAACAUCAGUGGCGAAGGCGGCCAUCUGGGACAACACUGACGCUGAGGCACGAAAGCGUGGGGAGCAAACAGGAUUAGAUACCCGAGUAGUCCCUGUCUCUUAUAA